RNAcentral lists this long non-coding RNA (429 nucleotides) under Capsella rubella. Its description in RNAcentral is "long non-coding RNA (CRUB_LNC001561)". The record is from RNAcentral. Lineage: Eukaryota; Viridiplantae; Streptophyta; Magnoliopsida; Brassicales; Brassicaceae.
GUUCAAAAAAUUUAAUUAAAAUCCGAUUACAACUUAUGGAUAGUGCACACACAACUAAUGGCUUUCGUAUGAAAGGCCAAAUCUUAUGCAAUCAUUGAUCGAUAAGGCCCAUACAUAUAUGCAUUCACAUGUCGACAAAGCCCAGCAAUCUCUGUCAUUGGUGUAGUUUUCCCGCUUUUUUCUUCAAGCCUCCAUUGAUAUCAUAUCACUAUGGUUCCCUUUAAAAACAGAACCAUUUAAAUUGUAUCUAGAAGAUUUCCGCAAAAAAUAACAAAAAAUUCCUAAUUUUUAGCAACAUCAUAACUUCAUUUCUAAAUAACACCUCUCCAAUUAUAAUCUACCAUCGCAAUUCCAGUAACAAUAUCUCUUUCCAAAAUCUCAAUAUCUAAAUCUUACCCGUAACAAUAUUCCUGCUAAUAUAGAUAGAUA